GGGGGCUUGGUGUAAUAGGUAGACACAGAGUACUUGGGAUCCUCCGGUGUUUUAACACCGUACGGGUUCGAAUCCCGUAGCCCCCA
This 86-nucleotide transfer RNA is filed under the name Candidatus Aenigmatarchaeota archaeon. RNAcentral's name for it is "tRNA-Pro". It matches the Rfam family "tRNA". Rfam says of the family: Transfer RNA (tRNA) molecules are approximately 80 nucleotides in length. The record is from RNAcentral. Lineage: Archaea; Nanobdellati; Candidatus Aenigmatarchaeota.